Molecule: ribosomal RNA, 497 nt
Filed under: uncultured bacterium
Lineage: Bacteria
Description: partial 16S ribosomal RNA
Rfam family: Bacterial small subunit ribosomal RNA
Source: RNAcentral
GAUGAACGCUGGCGGCGUGCCUAAUACAUGCAAGUCGAACGGACAGACCCGGCGCUUGCUCGUCUGACGUUAGCGGCGGGCGGGUGAGUAACACGUGGAUCACCUCCCUAUCAGACUGGUAUAACUUCGGGAAACCGGCGCUAAUACCGGAUAAUCUAUUGCACCACAUGGUUCGAUAGUGAAAGACGGUUUUGCUGUCUCUAAUCGCUGGUUCCGCGCCGCUUUAGCUAGUUGGUGAGGUAACGGCUUACCACGGCUACGAUGCGUAGCCGACCUGAUAGAGGGGUCGGCGACCUGGGAAGUGAGACAGGCUCCAGACGCCUACGAGAGGCAGCAGUCGGGAACCUGACGCAAUGGGCGAAAGCCUGACGGAGCAACGCGGCGUGAGUGAUGAAGGUCUCGGGAGCGUAAAAAUCUGUUACGAGUUGAGAACAAAUUUGGAAUUAAAUAUGCACGUCUUGACGGUACUUAAUCAAAAAGCCACGGCUAACUACGUG